RNAcentral lists this ribosomal RNA (415 nucleotides) under uncultured bacterium. RNAcentral describes it as "bacterial SSU rRNA". It matches the Rfam family "Bacterial small subunit ribosomal RNA", at positions 355 to 776 of the family's 1533-position model. The record is from RNAcentral.
UGAGGAAUAUUGGACAAUGGGCGAAAGCCUGAUCCAGCGACGCCGCGUGGGUGAAGAAGGCCUUCGGGUUGUAAAGCCCUGUCAGAGGGGACGAAACCGGGAAACCGCUGACGGUACCCUCAGAGGAAGCACUGGCUAACUCCGUGCCAGCAGCCGCGGUAAUACGGAGAGUGCAAGCGUUACUCGGAAUCACUGGGCGUAAAGGGCGCGUAGGCGGCCCAUUAAGUUGGAUGUGAAAUCCUGCGGCUCAACCGCAGAACUGCAUUCAAAACUGGUGGGCUAGAGUACGGAAGAGGAAGGCGGAAUUCCCAGUGUAGGGGUGAAAUCCGUAGAUAUUGGGAAGAACACCAGUGGCGAAGGCGGCCUUCUGGGACGAUACUGACGCUGAGGCGCGAAAGCGUGGGGAGCAAACAGA